Molecule: ribosomal RNA, 460 nt
Filed under: uncultured bacterium
Lineage: Bacteria
Description: partial 16S ribosomal RNA
Rfam family: Bacterial small subunit ribosomal RNA
Source: RNAcentral
CCUACGGGAGGCAGCAGUGAGGAAUAUUGGUCAAUGGGCGUCAGCCUGAACCAGCCAAGUCGCGUGAGGGAUGAAGGAUCUAUGGUUCGUAAACCUCUUUUAUAAGGGAAUAAAGUGCGGGACGCGUCCGGCUUCGCAUGUACCUUAUGAAUAAGGAUCGGCUAACUCCGUGCCAGCAGCCGCGGUAAUACGGAGGAUCCGAGCGUUAUCCGGAUUUAUUGGGUUUAAAGGGUGCGUAGGCGGCCUUUUAAGUCAGCGGUGAAAGUCUGUGGCUCAACCAUAGAAUUGCAGUUGAAACUGGGGGGCUUGAGUAUGUUUGAGGCAGGCGGAAUGCGUGGGGUAGCGGUGAAAUGCAUAGAUAUCACGCAGAACCCCGAUUGCGAAGGCAGCCUGCCAAGCCAUGACUGACGCUGAUGCACGAAAGCGUGGGGAUCGAACAGGAUUAGAUACCCCUGUAGUC